RNAcentral lists this unclassified non-coding RNA (200 nucleotides) under Hevea brasiliensis (rubber tree). Lineage: Eukaryota; Viridiplantae; Streptophyta; Magnoliopsida; Malpighiales; Euphorbiaceae. The record is from RNAcentral.
CCGUCAGGCUGUGCAGACCUCGAUUGAAACUCUCAAGUUUCUCAAGCGGGCGGACAGUGAUCUCGAUAUCAACCAGUUUGUAACCGACAAGUAUAUCCGCACCGCACUGACACAGGCUAGGCGCGAUUACGAUGCUGAGUUGAAAAACUAUGCGCAACUUCCGCUCAAGGCCAAGGACGCGGCGACUGGCGCGGACAUCA